GGGCUAUUAGCUCAGUUGGUUAGAGCGUCGUGCUUAUGACGCGAAAGUCACGGGUUCGAGUCCCGUAUAGCCCA
Molecule: non-coding RNA, 74 nt
Organism: Baffinella frigidus
Lineage: Eukaryota; Cryptophyceae; Cryptomonadales; Baffinellaceae
Source: the annotation of a GenBank genome assembly